This 253-nucleotide ribosomal RNA is filed under the name uncultured Lachnospiraceae bacterium. RNAcentral's name for it is "partial 16S ribosomal RNA". It matches the Rfam family "Bacterial small subunit ribosomal RNA", at positions 524 to 776 of the family's 1533-position model. Lineage: Bacteria; Bacillati; Bacillota; Clostridia; Lachnospirales; Lachnospiraceae. The record is from RNAcentral.
UACGUAGGGGGCAAGCGUUAUCCGGAUUUACUGGGUGUAAAGGGAGCGUAGGCGGCUUAGUAAGUCAGAAGUGAAAGCCCGUGGCUCAACCGCGGAACUGCUUUGGAAACUGUAUAGCUUGAGUACUGGAGAGGCAGGCGGAAUUCCUAGUGUAGCGGUGAAAUGCGUAGAUAUUAGGAGGAACACCAGAGGCGAAGGCGACUCACUGGACUGUAACUGACGCUGAGGCUCGAAAGCGUGGGGAGCAAACAGG